This 4248-nucleotide long non-coding RNA is filed under the name Citrus x clementina. RNAcentral's name for it is "Citrus clementina (C. clementina) long non-coding RNA (CCLE_LNC006529)". The record is from RNAcentral. Lineage: Eukaryota; Viridiplantae; Streptophyta; Magnoliopsida; Sapindales; Rutaceae.
UAUGAAAUCUUUUUACUUUUUUGAUUGAGCAUUUUAUGCAUGUUAUUACUUAUAGUUAGUUCGAGAUUAUGAGCAUUUUUUUUAUGUGAAUGAAAUAGUUUUUUAUUAGAAAAAAUAAUAAUACUAUUUACUUAGUUGAGAUAUUUAGUUUUUACUUGAAAUAUAUUUAAAAUGAUGUGUUACUAUUUAAUUGGUUGAAGUGAUAGUUAAUUAUUUAAUCUUAUCAUUUCUAUCAAAUGGUUAAAUUCUAUUGGUGGCAAUUCAAGUAGAAUACAAACUCAAUAUCCAAGUAAGCAGGUAUAACAUCACUCUUAAGAAAUAAGCUUAGAGAUUGGUAAAUUAUGUUGUUUCAUUUGCUGUAAGUUUGAAAAGCAUAGUAUGUGUAUUUGACAAAUUUUAUUAUGAGAGUGUUGUUAUAUUAUAUAAUGACUGAAAUACACGUAAGUUUAAAUUACUUUAUAUUUAUAUAUCAAGAUUUAUGAAAAAAUAAGACAUAAUUGUCUUUUUAUUUAAAUGUUAAGAUUGUAACAUGAACUUUAAAAAGAUAUGGUGGCUUAUUCAAUAAGCAGGUUAUAAAAAGUAAUUUUCUUCUUACUUUUAAAAGUCAAAAUGGAGAAACUUAUGAAAUAAGUAGUUUUUAAAUAAUUUAUUAAAAUAUUUUUAUCAAAACUUAUGAAAUAAGUCAUUUAUAUCGUCUCAACCUUAAUCCUAUAUAGGGCCUCAAUAGGGAUUGAGUAGAUUUUUAAAGAUCUUUAAAAAUACACUACCUUAAUCUUGAAGUUUUAACUCCAUUCAAUUUAGUUAUAAAAAAUUGUAAGUAAAAGGUUCAAUAUUAUUUUUGCGCGGCGGGGAAACGGAGUAAAUGGUUCCAUAUAGUUUCAAGCUGACGUCAAAUGUAUCAAAUAAAGCAUACUCACAUCACAAAAAUUCUACUAAAAUAAAAAUUUGUUACUGAUAUAUAUAUUUUUUAAUUAGCAUAGGUUUUUAGAAUACGAUACAACAAAAUUUUUGAUGUUUUCGAAGACUGCUUUUAUUGAAUUUUGAAUUUAGUGCUAAGCUUAAUUGUUAAGUAUUUUAUGAUCUUGUGCUAUGUAUGCAUUUAUAAUAAAAAUAUGGUUAAGGUUUAAUUAUAUAGUUUUGAUUAUCCAAUAACUAUCAGUCACAAUAUUAUAAAAAGAAAAAAAUUAUUUCAACGCUCAAUCCAAAUCCGCUUUGUUAAUAAGCUUUUGGCACAUCAUAGUUUCUAAUACUUGAAAUUUAAUUUAGAAAUUAGGUGUAUAAUUGUAAUGUCCGUAGGCUAACACCAUAACAACAAAUAUUUAGAAGAUUUUACAGAAAUGCCACAAUUUUGGGGGCGAUUCAGAAAUGUAACUUAAAAUCUGGAUUAUGCUUAGAAAAGCGAAAAUAAUAUUUGAACAAAAGUUGAUCAAUUAGUGGGCCACAAACGGCUGCAAUGGGGCCAUUUAGUCGUCACAGUCCAAUUUUUUCGUUUACCCCAAAAUCGAAUGAGGAGUUGUGGCUCAUUUUACUCUAUUAAGAUCUACUGUUGUGAGAGUUAUGGCUCUCCCAUAACUCGAAGACGAGCAUGGUUGAUAGAAAACCAAUUAAGAAAGACAAGGUUAAACUUUUUUGUGAUUAAUAAUGGUAAAUGUUUUGAUGGUUGUGUUAGGCUAUAUAAUUAUGGAAAACGGUAAAUGUAGAGAAUUAUAGGAACUUUAUUGUAUAAAAUAAUGUGUUUAUAAUUUUGUAUGUGGAAAGAAAAUAAUAGCGUAUGUACCAUGAUUUAGAGGCACAAAAUUACGCCAAGUGUCCUGUACGUGCCAUAACUUAGAGACACCAAAUUACUCCAAGUGUCCUAAUAAAAAAGAAAAAAAGAAACUAUCUCGGAAAAUCAAAUAAGUAAAUAAAUUAUAUCCAAUUUAUUUAGGAGAAAGUAACACUGGAACAAAAUUCUCCUGGGACUUGCGAUAAUAACUAAGAGUAAAAAAUCAUUCUAAUUUUGGGAUUCCGGGGUUUGAGGGAACCACGCCGAAGAUCAUAGGAGUAGGGAAGCACAUGGGCACAGAAUAAAUGACGUAGGUUCGAAAUAAAUAUAUUUAUUUCCCUAAGAACAAGUUCACGUCCACGUGUGCAAUAAUAGUUGGUGGCACGUGUCAUCAAGGAGAGAGACCAAGGUAAAACCCUAGACCAUAUCAUCUAUCAACUAUAAAUAUGGACCAUCUCACCAAGAAAAGGAGAUCCCUCCUAAGCAAAAAAAAAAAAACCCUAAUCUUGUUUAUUGUUCUUGCUUCCAUUAGACCUUAAAAUCAAACAUUGACUUGGGCGUCAGAGUGCCUUUUUCAAGUACCCACCACGCUGGAUUCAAGUUCAACGCGUGUCACAAGUUCUCCACAAAUUAAAAGUACGUGUGAAGGUAAAUUCUUGUUGCCUUCAUUGGCGCCGUCUAUGGGGAAACUUGGCUGGAAAAAUUUUUCUCUCACUAAAACCCAGAUGAACACCACUUAUCAUCAUCUUUUUAGAUCAGAUCUGGUUGGAUAUAAUUGAAAAAAGAGGAAAAUACUCACACAUAUUUAUGAAAAAUUGUUUAUGUGUGAGAUUUGAACCUCAAACAUGCUAAAAAAUACUCACAAAUGGAGGUUAUUCCUUCAAAUACUUUGCUGAAAAAAAAGAGAAAGAAUAAAGAAGAUAGAGACCCAUUAUUAUUUAUUUUACCUUAUUUUCCUUUUAUUUUUUUUAUUCCACACAACUAUGAUGAUUUAAUUACCUUCCUGCCAUUUCAACUCCUCCAUAGUACUUCACUAUUUUUUUUUCCCAUGAGUGAGACUAAGAAAAACCCCAAGCAUUCACCUUAUCCGGUGGAAUAUAUGCAGGGUGUUAGGCGUUGAGUGUUAGAAAAUGUAUAUUUAUAAAGGAAAAAAUCAUCAUUUACAUUUCAAGUCUUACUAAUAUUCUUACUUUUGUGUAUUUAAGCUUCUUGUGAUUUAAUUAUAUGUGUUUUAUUUUAAUUAAGUAUUUUAUGUAUUUUAGGGGCAUCAUGGUCAUUUCACAAUGAAUGAGAGUUUAGACGGCAAAACAGACAUCACUUUUGAAUUCAGGAUAGUCGAAAACCUUAGAAGGAGUAUAAAAGGAAAAAUGGCACUGUUCACAUGUACGGUACUGUCUACGUUACUAUUCACGACACUGUUCACAUAGACGGAUCGAUGACGUGUCAUUGACCGAUGAUGUGGCAUUGACUGAUGAAGUGUCACGAUCCUGUUGGACUAAAAUUCUUAUGUACUGUUGAUUGAUGACGUGGCAGCAUGUUAGUGGACCAAAAAUCGCGCGUACGGUACUUGCAUAUACACAUGAUUAUUUUCAACCAAACUGCGUCACUGUUCAAACUGUGUCACUAUUCAAACUACGUGGUCAAACCGCGCAUUGUUGACUGAUGACGCGGCGCAAUCCUGAGCGUCCGAAAUAUUUUUAAUCCGAUGACCAUGAUUUACUCUAUAUAUCUAUAAAAGGGGGGCUCUCCCCCCCUAAUUUGGCAUCUCUGAAUCCAUUUUUGAGCUCCAUUUUCUAUAAUUCCUUCUCCAUCUUGUAUUUUCUACGUAUUUUAAUAAAUUUCCAUUUUACCCCUAUUUCAAUUAUGAGUAGCUAAUUUUCUUUCAAGCUUGGGUUGAAGGCGAAGUCUCAACAUGUGCCAUGGGCUUUAUUUGGUAAAUUUAUUUUCUCUUCCCUUCUAAUUAUUGUGGAUGUUUUGACUUUUCGUUGAUAAAUAGUAAUAAUCUUGUCUAGAUACCGCCUUGGUUUCACCGGCUCCCUAGUAUAAUAAGGUUAUUAUUAUUCGGCACGAUAAGCCCUUAGCACCAUAUUGAUUAGAGUGUGGUUCAUGAGGUGUGGAUUCUCCCCUCAUGAUUUAAUUGGCACUAAUAAAUAAUAUUUAGCCCAUUAUGCAUGUUGAUGUGGAUCUAGGUACCCAAGCGUUUCAAUUAUAAUAGUUUCCACUUUAAUUUAAUUCCGUCAUUCCAAUUUAAAUUUUAAGAUAGUUCAAAUCACUUUUACCACAAAUCCAUCCACCCAUUUAGAAAAUUAAUUCUACACAUAAUUAAAAUCUACCUCCUUGUGGGAUCGGCACUCGUCACCAUUGAUCUAUUGUACAAUAGAUUCGUGCACUUACGAGUUCAAUAAAAUUUGCACAAUAAGUUUUUGGCUCCGUUACCGGGGAGGUAAGUUAUUUUAAUUUGUAGAAUUAAUUUUUAUAAAAAA